Molecule: ribosomal RNA, 505 nt
Filed under: uncultured bacterium
Lineage: Bacteria
Description: partial 16S ribosomal RNA
Rfam family: Bacterial small subunit ribosomal RNA
Source: RNAcentral
GACGAACGCUGGCGGCGUGCCUAAUACAUGCAAGUCGAACGCACAGUUUAUACCGUAGCUUGCUACACCAUAGACUGUGAGUUGCGAACGGGUGAGUAACGCGUAGGUAACCUGCCUGGUAGCGGGGGAUAACUAUUGGAAACGAUAGCUAAUACCGCAUAAUAUUGAUUAUUGCAUGAUAAUUGAUUGAAAGAUGCUAUUGCAUCACUACCAGAUGGAACUGCGUUGUAUUAGCUAGUAGGUGAGGUAACGGCUCACCUAGGCGACGAUACAUAGCCGACCUGAGAGGGUGAUCGGCCACACUGGGACUGAGACACGGCCCAGACUCCUACGGGAGGCAGCAGUAGGGAAUCUUCGGCAAUGGACGAAAGUCUGACCGAGCAACGCCGCGUGAGUGAAGAAGGUUUUCGGAUCGGAAAGCUCUGUUGUAAGAGAAGAACGGGUGUGGGAGUGGAAAGUUCACACUGUGACGGUAUCUUACCAGAAAGGGACGGCUAACUACGUG